AUUGAACGCUAGCGGGAUGCUUUACACAUGCAUGUCGACCGUGUGGCUUAUGGGUGAGUAAUAUAUGUGUACGUGCCCAUUAGCGGGGGAUCACUACUUGAUAGAGUGGCUAAUACCGCAUACUCUUGGAUCGGCCGUUAUCGGAUUAGCGAGUUGGCGGGGUAAAGGCUCACCAAGGCAACGAUCCGUUGCUGGUUUGAGAGUACGACGAGACACACUGGGACUGAGACACGGCCCAGACUCGUACGGGGGGCAGCAGUGGGGAAUUUUGGAAAAUGGAGGAAACCCUGAUCCAGCCAUCCCGCGUGUAGGAGAAGGCAUUCAGGUUGUAAAGUACUUUUGGCAGAGAAGCGGUAUCUGCCGAAUAUGCAUCGGCUAACUACGUGCCAGCAGCCGCGGUAAUAC
Molecule: ribosomal RNA, 405 nt
Filed under: uncultured bacterium
Lineage: Bacteria
Description: partial 16S ribosomal RNA
Rfam family: Bacterial small subunit ribosomal RNA
Source: RNAcentral